This 489-nucleotide ribosomal RNA is filed under the name uncultured archaeon. Its description in RNAcentral is "bacterial SSU rRNA". It matches the Rfam family "Archaeal small subunit ribosomal RNA", at positions 511 to 997 of the family's 1478-position model. The record is from RNAcentral.
UAAAGCGUCCGUAGCCGGUUAAUAAGUCUCUGGUGGAAUCCUGUAGCUUAACUGUGGGAAGUUGCUGGAGAUACUAUUAGACUUGAGACCGGGAGGGGUUAGAGGUACUCCCAGGGUAGAGGUGAAAUUCUGUAAUCCUGGGAGGACCGCCUGUUGCGAAGGCGUCUAACUGGAACGGUUCUGACGGUGAGGGACGAAAGUUAGGGGCGCGAACCGGAUUAGAUACCCGGGUAGUCCUAACUGUAAACGAUGCGGACUUGGUGUUGGGGUGGCUUUGAGCUGCUUCAGUGCCGAAGGGAAGCUGUUAAGUCCGCCGCCUGGGAAGUACGGUCGCAAGACUGAAACUUAAAGGAAUUGGCGGGGGAGGCACCACAACGCGUGGAGCCUGCCGGUUUAAUUGGAUUCAACGCCGGACAUCUCACCAGAGGCGACAGCUGUAUGAUAGCCAGGUUGAUGACUUUGCUUGACUAGCUGAGAAGAGGUGCAUGG